GCAGACGGCCGGGCGGCCGCUCCCGACCGCGGCGAGGCCGUGGUGGGAGAGGAAAGUCCGGGCUCCACGGAAACACGGUGCCGGGUAACGCCCGGCGGAGGCGACUCCAGGGACAGUGCCACAGAAAGCAAACCGCCCACCGGCCCGAGCGGCUCGGCGGGUCAGGGUGAAAGGGUGCGGUAAGAGCGCACCGCCCGGCCGGUAACGGUCGGGGCACGGUAAACCCCACCGGGAGCAAGACCGAGAAGGAGCGACCGGGGCCGGCCUGAUGGCGCGGCCCGGCCCGGUUUCCGGGGUGUCGCUCGGGUAGGUCGCACGAGGCGGUCGGCAACGCCCGCCCCAGAUGAAUGGUCGCCGCCCCUGGGCCACCAGGGCGCACAGAACCCGGCUUACAGGCCGUCUGCCCAC
This 408-nucleotide RNase P RNA is filed under the name Rhodothalassium salexigens DSM 2132. RNAcentral describes it as "Bacterial RNase P class A". It matches the Rfam family "Bacterial RNase P class A". From Rfam's summary of the family: Ribonuclease P (RNase P) is a ubiquitous endoribonuclease, found in archaea, bacteria and eukarya as well as chloroplasts and mitochondria. Lineage: Bacteria; Pseudomonadati; Pseudomonadota; Alphaproteobacteria; Rhodothalassiales; Rhodothalassiaceae. The record is from Rfam by way of RNAcentral.